CUUCUAAGGAUAUGCUCAUUGCACAGCUUCAUCACUCAACAAGCACCAAAGAAAAAUGACUGCAAUUCAGACCUCACUUCAAAUUUGUUAAAGAUCUUUUCAUGUUUGCCCUGUGUUAGGACUGUUGAGAAUGUGUCCCCUCCGCAGCAGAUGAGCUUGUGUGAUCUAAGACUGAAAUCAUGAACUAUAGGUUGUCUUCUAGACUGAACAGCUAUGUUACAUGAGAGGGAGAAGAUGAAUUUACCACUGCUGCUUCUACUGGUUUGUUUGCAAGAACCACUGUUUUAGUAGAGAGUGGACAAUGUUUUUAUACACCAGAGAAUCCAGAAAGUCAGACUUCAGAACUUGGCAACCUCCAACCUCCUUUCUGAGCUACAAGUCAUACAUAGUGAAGUAUAAAAAGGAAGUGGUCUGAUCAGAUUGUCAGGUGAGGGAAAGAAUUUGGUCAUCCUUCUCUGACAUUGUAUCAACAGAUCGUAUGAUGCAGAUCAAUUGCAAUUCUUGCCAGGUACUGUGAGCUGGCUUCUGUAUCUUUUCCACCUGAAUUUCAAUCAUGUUGGGUUUUCUUUUGUUUUGGAAGUUUUAGCAGGGCCAGAGCUGCUAAACUACCCAUGGCCAGGAGAAUUUAAGAUGUUAAACAUGUAACUGCAAUAUCAUUGUAAAUCUCUCUAGGACAUGAGGAAAGCUUGUGGUAGCAAGACAGCUAGAGGGGCCUGGCAAGCAGUGCUUUCUAUACCCUGAGUAAAAGUCUUCUAUCCCUUGGCUCUGCACAUAGGUAUAAAGGAAGGGCCAUGGAGAAAAUGAAGGGAAUACAGAAAUUCAUUCCAGUCCUCCUACCUGGCAUGCAUAGAAGUGACCAGUUAUUUUCACAACCACCUGAUCAUUUUCAUCAGGUGUCUGGUCACGAGGGACUACAACUUCUGCACUUGUCAAGUUUUGAAGCUCAUUUACCUGUAAAUAGAUAGCAGGAAUCAGAAAAUCAUAAACGAACAAAUUAUCCACAACAGUCACGCCUCAAAAAUGCCACUGACCACAGAAACAAGUGGUGUUUCAGAAAAGAAGCCCCCUAACAGAAAGCAUCUUUGUGCAGCAGUGUGCACUCUGCAAGAGUCUCUUGUGUCUCUAAAACAAAUUAGCAGCAGCUCCUCUGGGUUUGUAGAAGCGAUUUAAAGACUAAAUACAACACACAGAAGGUGUUAAAUACAUUACUUUAAAAGGCAAUUAGUGGUUACAGUUGAAUUUAUGAGUUUAAGGUCAGAAAACUCAUAAAAUGUGUAGUAUAGGGAAGAAGAAAGUCAAACUAUUUCUACAUUUUUCCUUGAAAAGUGUCCACAAGAUGGAGAGCUCCAGGAAGUGCAGUGAGAAAUGUCCAAAUUAUUUUCAGCAGCCUGUCAGCCUCCAUAGAGGUAAGGUCAAAGCCUCUCCUGUAUAUACUCAUGCUAUUUAAGUAAUGUGUUGCAUUAUUUAAAUCAAAGAUGUUUUAGAUGAGCAGCUUUUCAGAGAUGUCUGUACUUAAACCCCUUACCACAUUGCCUCCGGACACUUAACUUCAAGACCCCACUGCACUCAGGGACAGAAACCCAAAAGCAAACCAUUUCUUUGCAAAUAUCAGCUAGCACCUGAUUUACAGCCACAAAAGUAUUUCAGUAUUAGCAGCAUUUCAAGACUGAAAAUUCUCAAUAAUGUCAUUUUGUGCAACAAACAGCCUGAGAAACACCAUCAGUUAAGAUGAAGCAAAUAAAUUGGAGGUUGGGAGGGCAAAUGAUAGCGAGGUCCAAACAGGUCUUAAUUUCUUACUGCUCAUUUAGAAAUUAUGUUUUUACUCAGUUUUGUCCAGAAAAGCCACCUUUGGAGAUAGGGGAUUUGAUUUUAAUUGAAUGAGAUUCAUACAAACUCUGUGUGCUAUCUGGCAUAACCUGAAGUUCACAGAAGCAGGUCUCUGUGCAUUCUAUAUGGAAGAAUUACAUUUCAAUUAAUAAAAGCCCUGCAGAUCUGACUGGGGCUAUUGAUUUUUGUUAGGCAACUUAAUUUUUUAAUUACAGGAGAGUGGCUUCUCUUGACUCUAUGCUAGAAGGAAGGAAAGAAAGAAAUCUGAGUACAGCUAAGAAAAUAACACCUGCUUUAACGUGACUUCAAAGGAUUAGCUAUUAGUUAGCUAAGGGUUUAAGCCUUUUGUACACACUGGAAUACAAAACAUAGCAACAGUAGAAGCUUUAUUUCAGCUACUUACAGUUUUGCCUCCUUUUCCAAUAACUCUACCAGCAGCAUAGGAUGGCACUUUUAUAUGAGCCUCAAGUUUCACUUCUUCUUUAGGUCCAAAGAAAUUUUCUUCUUUAAGUUUCCCAUAGAUUCUCCCUUGAGCCUGCAAAAACGCUUUUAGUUAGAGAAUACACUUCCAGAAAUCCAGUUAACAGCAAGAAACUCUACAGAAAGAAUUCUCACUUCACAACCUUGACAAAACAUUUUCCCUAAUAAAUACAGUAACCAUUUUUAUACAACAAUUCUUUGUACCCAGAUAGGAAGCACUGCUGUCAAACUUUAAAGAUUGCAUGACAAACCAGGGAAUCACAGAGCAGUUUAACAGAAAUCAUCAUUAUUCUACUGUUCAGUAGAAAUAUUACAUUAAAAAAGACAACCUAUUAGAGCUCUGUAGAGCUAAGAAGUGGUGGAAAGAAGAGCUAUCUGCCUAAGAGUUUUUUAUUACACUCAGAAGCAGAUAACACAAUUUGCUCAGCAACCCAUUCUUUUAAGGAUGCUAAGCAAAACAAGCCACAAUCACCACUUCUCAAAAAAAAACCCCACCCAUAAAAAACACAACCACCAAAACCCAAAUCAUGGGAUAAAGACUCCAGUUAGAGCUAGCAGCUUAGUUUUACAAUCCAUUGCAACACAUGUUAAAAAGUAAUCUGAGCUGGCUCAAUUGUUCAAAGUGAAAAAUCACACUACCUAGAUCUAAAUAACACCAUGGGAACAGUAUUUCUCCGACCAGCACACAGUUCCCUUUUUUAAGGAACAUGUAAGUACCAGGUAGCAAGAAGCAUAUCCACUGAGACUAAGCUCAUAAAUCUUGCUAUUUUAAAACAUGUUUGUUUCCUUUUCCCCUGUCCUUUGUCAGUUAAUUAUUGAGAAAUGUUAACCAGAUCCACUUUGCAACUCUUAAAAGCAUGAGAAGGACAUUUCUUUUGAGACACUGCGGAGGUGCUCUGUAAAGACCAUAACCCUGGUACCACACAGCCUUUGCAGUUCAGAUUCUUUACCGUCUUUUAAAUCACGCUCACCAACCCUACCACUGCGUACAUGCUAGAGCCAACAUCUUACAGGUCACCACUGCAAUGAAAUAUGAGAGAAAAAGUCCAGAAGGUUUUAUGAUGUGAUAAUUAAAUAGUGGCAGUUUUAUCUUAUUUCUAGCUCACCUCCUGAAAACCUACUCAAGGUCUUACUACUCUUGAAUGGAUAAGAAUGUAGGUAUUUUGUGACCUUGAACUUGAGAGCACUCAGCAUUUUGGGUAAGUCAAACUCCACCUGAAGAGCACAGAAUAAUCUAUAGCACAUGGCUCUGACUUGGGUGGGAUACUGUGAUUCAUGGGACUAUGUCCCAGAGGACAAGAGCCAUUGUCUUCGAAUAAGGCAAAAGACUACACAAGCCUUUCAGAAAUUCAGUACAAUUAAUGACACCAUUAACUGCCCUGGAAUCAGAGAUUGCUGCUCCAGCAAAACACUUCAAAAGGGUUUGCCAAGAGCAGCUAGCACACUACUCACAGCUAUCAAGCUGGAGAUUUGCAACUACUUCCAAAUUUGUCAGGGACAGACAGUAGCCAGCCUAGUCCUUUUCAUUUCGACGGCAAUUUUUCAUGAGCAUCACACCAUGAGACAACCUGCCCAGGCUGCAGGGCUCUGUGGAAGAGAUACUUUAAGGAGAAAGCAUUUGUUACUGCUGAAUUAUAAAGCAAGGUGGGAUGCUGAUUUAAGAGACAGCAGUUCUAUUUCCAACAUCCCAAGUAUUUUGGCUCUUAAAAAUAAAGGGGGUGUUCUAGCUGGGCUGCACCUUCUUCACAGUAAAAUACUGACUGAAAUAACUUGAGUAUGUUAGGUUUCACUGAUACCUGUUUCCCAGAUCCAAGGCAACAUCAUCUCUGAAUGUUGGUGUCACAAGUAUGAUUAAACUCUUGGGAGCACUGCAGCAGAGGUUACAAACAGUGGCAUAUUCUUUUCCCAUUGUCUUACCAAUAAAUAGCUCUGCAUACCACAUCCUCAGGCCACUGCAGCUGAGGAAGAAAGGGAUGCAGCCACUGCAACUACCAUGGACAUGAAUCACAACAGUAGAACACAAUGUAGUAGGGAAAGAAUGCCAAACUCACAGGCUCUGGGAUGACACCGCCUCUCCAAGAGCUGGUUACUCAUCUGGGCAGCAGCUAUUCCCACUUCAAGUUGUUGUGCACCCAGACUACAUUCUUGGUGCCUAACAAGCAAUAGUCUAUGCUCAAAGGUGGAAAAAACCCUUCUAAACCAGAACUUCAGGACAGCAUUAAUCUUGGUCCUCUUAGGCAUGUUUCAGAUUAACAAUGGUGAUAAAAGAAAGAACUAAACUCUGCCUCUGCCCAUCUCAGCCAAGAGGGCAUUGCUCAAAGUGUAGUAAAAGACUGAGGACUGGAGCUAAAGGAAGCCCCAAAGGCCCUCUCCUUCACCAGACCAGCAAGCUCAGAAGCAUUGGCUGUGCUAGUGCAAGCAGAAGCCCAAGUGCAGACCAGUGACUGACUGUUGUGGUUUAAAACAAUGUAUGGGGUGCAGAAAACAGAUCAUUUUCUCCUUGCAUGUUCCAGGUUGGGAUAAAGAGCUGGUAAAAGAAUUCUGUGGGAUUUCAAGUCUGAGGAAGCUGAAAACCUGCAGCCUUUGCCUACAUGAGAAGUCAGGACAAGAGAUGUCCAAAUUUGAGGGCAAGUUCACCAAUAUCUCAUGGAAAGAUGGCCAGAAUCUGACCUUAUGCUGAUCCUAGAUCACAAAAGCACCCCGUAUGUGGAGCAUGCCGUGUUCCCACAUGCACACAGAAAACCUCAAGGAGGCAGAGCUUCUAAAUUACACUUUGUCUUCAGUAGCUUCUUAAAUGUGUAUGGUAGCUGGGCAAUAAUCCCAAAGGCAUCUAGAUCACUAUUACUACUGCAAAAUGCCUGCCCUGAUACUUCUUCAAAGCUCCUAAAGGCUUUAAUGAAACUGAUUCUAGAUAUGCCUGAAGUUUGUGCACCUUCGUCUUGCAAGAUGCCCUGGAGCAAAAAUACAAAAGACAGAAACGAGAACAGGCAAGAGAACGAUGCCAGGACAUGAACUCCCAAGUGACUUCCUACCUGCCCUGGGCCUCAGCUGCGAUGAGGCCAGGCUGCUGCACUGAGUUGUUUGCAUCAUUCCUAACGUGGUCAACUCCUCUUGGGGUAACUAGAUUUAUCCCUUGGCACUUAAGGCAGAAGGCCACUCCAGAAGUCAAUUUGAACACAAAUGGGGUAAUCAGGUUGAAUAUCUCCUUGUAGUUGUAGUGGAAAUAGAAUUAGAAAUCCUGCAUUUAUCUACAGAGCUACAAAAAGCUUUUUCCAUUUGGCAUGCAACAGCAACCUGGGAAGACUCAGUUUCUCAUCUUGUCAGCUUUAUCUCAAUUAAACACACUGUUGCAUGUAUGAAGACAGUCUAGAAAGACUGAACUACUGUGCUUGGAGAAAAAAAGGGAAAAUUAGGAAUGUAAUACGGCCACAUUUUCAUUCUAGAUUUGAUUCUAGUUUGUAUGAAACUCCCACCAGUUGUCAGGUGACCAGAAAGUGGCCUCUCGUAGUACUGUAUUAGUCAUACUCAAUAGGAGAUACCUUUAGGGAAAAGGCAAGUAAAAAAAUAGAGUGUUUCCUAAAAUUCUGGAUAAAAUAAUGCUUGGAACCAGUUUUGCUUUCAGUAUUGUCCCUUACAAUCCAAAGGCUACCACAGACAAGUUUUUAAUAUGUUGUACCUUGAACUGAGCUUCUGGAGGUCCAGUGAUGAUAACCAUUCUCAGCUUGGCAUCUGGUCCUUCAGCAGGAGCAAUCUGGAAUGGAUAAACAUAGCUUUUGGUAUCCUGUCUUUUGAAGGACUAGUUUAAAGCCACCUCCUCCCUGUUUCUGUCUCACAUUCUGUUCAAGAGUGAAAAGCUAUUCGUUAUGGCAGCAGCAUUGCACUUCUUCGAUCAUGAUGGGUUUGUUCUCUUAAAAGUGCAUUAAUUAGCUAUAAUGAGAUACAGAGAAAUUGGCUAAACCAUAAGCAAAUUUACUUCUGAAAAUUAAAGACACAGCUACUGAUCCACAUAUGGCUAAAUCCCAGAAGCCAUUUUUAUGUGUCUGAGAGAUUAAGACACAGCCUUCAAAAAGACAAGUAUGGUUAGCAGACAGACAGUCUCAUCUCUAGUCUCAAAUAGUGUUUCUAACAAGUUUUGACCAUUAGCAAAAGUUUAUAUCUCCCCCCAUGAGAACAGAAGAUCACUUUACUGUUGCAACUAAUCCGAUACAAAACAUUCCACUAGGCUGGACAAUGAGUUUGCAGUUUCCAAGGGGUUUUUAUCUACAGAUGUUUAUUUGUAUGACCCAAAUAAAAAUUAAGCCCCACUAGAGCUGAGACAGAGAUGCCUGCAGGGUCUUUAGCAGUUCAUGUCACCACAAAAGUAAGACUUCUGUGGGUGUUGUUCCCAGACUCCAGUGGCAUUAAAUAAUUCAAACUAGCCUCUGACAUUCUGGAUGAAUCUUUUGUUUAUCACAACUGACAUUUCCAUUGUUGCGUCUAGCAUUACAUAGCCGCUGUUGAAUGGGCAAUGUAUUAAACACUACAGGAUUUCAUCUUAGCUGUUGGCACAGGGAUGUUAUUCAUAUUUAACAGCUGUAGCUUAUUUCAGACAAAUUACCAGCCACCAUGCCUCAUUCUCACUCAAGAAUUUUGCUAACAGAAGCUUGUAUAAUUAUUCAUAUUGUGCCCCAAGAUGGGGAAAACACUGCACCCUUGUUAUAUAGUUUGCAUAUUGAUUUUCCAUAUGAUUUCUGCAUUCCAAUUGGCUGCAUCUAAAAAUACACUUUAUAGUAGUACAUUUAUAUGACAUCAUGUUGUAAGGGCAAGCACAGAUUAAAACCAUUCAUUCUUUGGCAUACAAAUAUUUUAAAGGGGCAAAAUCUCAAGGCACAUUUUGGAGUCAGUUGACUGAGCUCAGCCUAACAAUUGCCUUUCAUUCAAAGUGGACAUUGUAGCCUGCCUUUCAACUCACAUUUCCUUGCUGAACACCAACACUUUCAUAGACAUUUCAGGGAAAAUACUUUCCAUCAAGCCUUUGUUACAUCUUACAGGUGUUUAAAUGCUCUGGGGCAUUUCUUGCUUGGCUUUUAUUUUAGUACGUCCUGUUCUCAGCAACUGGAGUAAAGCAUGGCUGAGAGCUGUGUAAGAAACAUGCACCCACUAACAUUUCAGUGUCUGAAGGGACAUCCUAAGGGACCUCUGCGUUAAUGUUGUCUACUUGCACUUGGGAGAAGUUACAUUUGUAACAAAUAGGAUGAAAUAGCAGAUAUGUCAACUUUGAGAAAACAGCUUUUCCAUUUCUAAGCAGGAAACAAUCAGCCUCCUGUUUGCCAAGUCACAAGCUGACAAGUUUGUACACCCAAAACCUGCACCACUCAUCCCAACUCAUUCAGAGACAGGGAAUAUUUAUGACCAAGGAGACACCAGUAGUUCCCAAGACAUCCCAGAACUGUAGUACAGAGUGGGCAGUACACUGUACUGCAGUUCUUUUGCUGAAUAAUUGAGUCUGCAGGAACCCCACAUCAAGUCUUUAUUAGCAAGUAAUGACCUCCAGCGCAGGAAAACUACCUGAGCUCACCAACAGCCCCACACACCUCUAAAGUAACAAGCUGGACAACAGAGCCUCAUGCAGAACCCCUGUGCAUCUGCAGUUUAGUCUUACUUUGAGGCUAAGGAAUUUCACCACAUGGACAAAGCUCAGCUUGAGCACAAGAAAGACGCACAGGGAUGUGUGCUGGUUUGAGGCUAAUUGGAAUAUUUUAAUGAGAGAAAUGAGAUCAUUGGUUGUGAAAAGAAAAUGACAAAGCCUAUGUCAUUUAUUGGUUUGCUGAGAGGGAUAAAAAGCCAAAAUGUCAACAAUUUGUCCCACUCUGAUCUGUGAUGCUGCAUCUAUUCACUUCCUGUUCACUCUAAUAUCUUUCCACUGAUCUUGGCUCACUGAAAACAACAUAAGCUUUGCUGGUUGUUUUGCUUGUCUGUCCAGGAAAGUAGAGGGAGAUAGAGAGAGUGGCUUUGACCUCUUCUGGAAAGUGUUUUCUUUGUGCAAGGAGGAGUUUGGGUUUCUGUAUUGUUUCUGAUUUGUAAAUACUUGUAAAUAUAUUGUGUAUACAUGCUAGUAACUUUUGCCUUGCUGUAAAUAUAGCUUCAUCUUACUUCCAAGCCAUCUGAGCUAGUCUGGCAAAUUUCAGUACUAGUGUGUGUGGGGGGAGAAGUUCCCAACCCACAUCAGAAUCUAAAACAUUUUCAACUGUAACAA
Pogoniulus pusillus (Red-fronted tinkerbird) is the source of this 8542-nucleotide long non-coding RNA. RefSeq lists it as uncharacterized. The transcript is spliced from 2 exons. NCBI's taxonomy places the organism in Eukaryota, Metazoa, Chordata, Aves, Piciformes, Lybiidae. The record is from RefSeq and is a predicted model, not a curated record.